Molecule: ribosomal RNA, 866 nt
Filed under: Trichoderma sp. 10 BRO-2013
Lineage: Eukaryota; Fungi; Ascomycota; Sordariomycetes; Hypocreales; Hypocreaceae
Description: eukaryotic LSU rRNA
Rfam family: Eukaryotic large subunit ribosomal RNA (bases 637-866)
Source: RNAcentral
GGGCAACUACCACUCAGGGCCGGAAAGCUCUCCAAACUCGGUCAUUUAGAGGAAGUAAAAGUCGUAACAAGGUCUCCGUUGGUGAACCAGCGGAGGGAUCAUUACCGAGUUUACAACUCCCAAACCCAAUGUGAACGUUACCAAACUGUUGCCUCGGCGGGAUCUCUGCCCCGGGUGCGUCGCAGCCCCGGACCAAGGCGCCCGCCGGAGGACCAACCAAAACUCUUAUUGUAUACCCCCUCGCGGGUUUUUUUAUAAUCUGAGCCUUCUCGGCGCCCCUCGUGGGCGUUUCGAAAAUGAAUCAAAACUUUCAACAACGGAUCUCUUGGUUCUGGCAUCGAUGAAGAACGCAGCGAAAUGCGAUAAGUAAUGUGAAUUGCAGAAUUCAGUGAAUCAUCGAAUCUUUGAACGCACAUUGCGCCCGCCAGUAUUCUGGCGGGCAUGCCUGUCCGAGCGUCAUUUCAACCCUCGAACCCCUCCGGGGGGUCGGCGUUGGGGAUCGGCCCUCCCUCUGCGGGGGCCGUCUCCGAAAUACAGUGGCGGUCUCGCCGCAGCCUCUCCUGCGCAGUAGUUUGCACACUCGCACCGGGAGCGCGGCGCGUCCACAGCCGUUAAACACCCAACUUUCUGAAAUGUUGACCUCGGAUCAGGUAGGAAUACCCGCUGAACUUAAGCAUAUCAAUAAGCGGAGGAAAAGAAACCAACAGGGAUUGCCCCAGUAACGGCGAGUGAAGCGGCAACAGCUCAAAUUUGAAAUCUGGCCCCUAGGGUCCGAGUUGUAAUUUGUAGAGGAUGCUUUUGGUGAGGUGCCGCCCGAGUUCCCUGGAACGGGACGCCACAGAGGGUGAGAGCCCCGUCUGGCUGGC